Molecule: long non-coding RNA, 328 nt
Organism: Myotis lucifugus (little brown bat)
Lineage: Eukaryota; Metazoa; Chordata; Mammalia; Chiroptera; Vespertilionidae
Exons: 2
Source: RefSeq, a predicted model, not a curated record
UUGUCAUACUGUGUGUCAGAUACUUAGCCGGAUUCUUUGUACACUGACAACCCUAGACUAAAUAUCAUCAUCAUCAUCAUCAUGAUCAUCAUCAUCAUCAUCAUCAUCAUCCCUGCUUUACAAAUGAGGAAAUGGAGGCUUGGAGAGUUCUCUGACUUGGCUGUAGUCAUAGGGAGAUAAUGUUUUCAAGGUGUAUCCAUAUUGCAGUAUGUGAGAACUCCAUUCCUUAGUCGAUGGACAUUUGAAUGAUUUCCACCUUUGCCUAUUGUCAACAGUGCUGCUAUGAACAUCUGUGUACAAGUUUUUAAAACUAAUUUAUUCUUUAAAA